CGACUAAUAACACAAAUAGAGAAUAACAUAUCUGGCUUGAGGAAUGGCAAGCUAUCAAGAAAGGGAGAGAGAUAGAGAUCAUUCUCUGUAAAAAAAUUCCAAGCUCCAGCUCACAAAUAUUAAUCUACCAAUUAAAAUUAAAUUUUGAAAAACAAAUGUUGAUAAUAAUAACAAACAUUUAAAAGACAGCUGAAGAAGAAUGGUAGAUGAAACUAACUCAAAUAUCAUCAUAUU
This 234-nucleotide long non-coding RNA is filed under the name Spirodela polyrhiza (greater duckweed). RNAcentral describes it as "long non-coding RNA (SPOL_LNC000490)". Lineage: Eukaryota; Viridiplantae; Streptophyta; Magnoliopsida; Alismatales; Araceae. The record is from RNAcentral.